GUGGCGCAGCUAUCCUGUCGGCUUCCCUUGAGGGCGGCUGUGAUCUUCCAAAUGGGCUCCAGGGUGAGGUCCCAGGCCGGCUGGGCGGCCGAGUAGGGCAGCGGCACCUCGUACUCGCAGGAACUGCCUCUGUCGGAGGGCAGCUGACCUUGUGAGGGGGUCAUUAGCGGCCAUGACUGGGACAAGUGCAGGUGCCGCGGCGACAGCUGCUGAGUCACGCUACCCACGUAGCUCGAUACCAUUGGUGCCUGUCUGCCUUGUGUGCUGGUUCACAGCAGGACCAUGUAUGCUCCUCAGCACAUUGCCCACCCUGCAGGCAUUUGCAGGCACUUGAGGGAAGGUAGACAUAUGGACAUGGCAGCCUAGGCCAGACUUCCAUACUGCUUAGGCAAUGCAGACACCAUUAUAGGCUUCUACGCAGCUUGCUACCCAUUUGUUGCUAUAUGCCACCCAGGGACUUCUGAUUCUCUUCACACUGGCGACUCUGACAAACAUCCCAUUCAAACCAAGGUUGGGACAGAAUACUACAGUCUAUAGGCCGUAAUGCUGCCAUCACAAAGAAAAGCGGGUCGAUUCGAUAGUGCAAAUGAAUCGUGCCAUCUUCGCUGACCCUGACCUGGUGCUUGAGGCUAGACGAGACACAUAAGAUUGCACCCUAUCAAACAAUCUCAUAGCUGAUAGUGUAUGCUUGUCCAGAAUGAGCAUGGAUUUUCACCUCCUAAAAGCAACUAUUGGCGUGUAUGCAUACUUUACCUGAUGGGUUUCGGUUGCAAGUGCGUCUGCCUGGAGAAGUGCUGAUGACAGCAACCUUCCAACGACUCUGGCUAUCGGAGUCCCGUCUCCUCGCCUGAAGCCUAUCCUGCACAAAGACAUACCGAAACAUCAAAUACAAGAACGGAGUCAUGAACGAUGAUGAUUAUGUUAUAGUCCGAAAUUUCGGAUAGUAGGAAUAGCUGGGCUUUCUCGGGCAUGCCAAUGUGAAAGCCCUGCCCAGAACGCAGGAGCUAUAAAGCAAUGGAAAGGGCACCGAACAUAUGUAUUAAUGAUCUACGCUGCGAGGUAUUCGGCACUCCACCAAGCUUGGUUCCGAGUAGGAGCCAACGGCUGUUAGUCUUAAAUCUCGCAAAGCUAGAAGAUCCUUGAUAAGCUGCUUUUCGGCAUAAUUGAAUCGACCCAAACCUCGACGAAUAAUCCCAAGCCCAUUGAGGUCCUGAGUGUCAGUGAUGGAUGGUGCCUGAAUCAACGAAGUUGUCAUAGAGACCUGCCCGUCGAAGAGGGGUACCUCGUCAGAUGGUUGAGGCCGCUGUGACUGUUUUCCUCUAUCCACAGGUUCCGCAACUCUUUCAAGGUUUCCUUAGAUACCGUGCAUGCUCGUCCAUCAACUGACGCCUGCAAGCUGGCGUGGUACCCGACAUCUGCGUUUAAAGGCUGGACUUUGAAGGUUCUGAAUACCGAGGCUGGCGGCCCUUGACGAUGGUUGACCCAAUAUGCCUCACAAGACCAUCCCACACAAAUGCAGACUACCUACGCCCAACGUCUCUGAACAGGUGGAUGGCAGCGACCAAGUACCUUG
This 1573-nucleotide long non-coding RNA is filed under the name Coccomyxa subellipsoidea. RNAcentral describes it as "long non-coding RNA (CSUB_LNC000622)". The record is from RNAcentral. Lineage: Eukaryota; Viridiplantae; Chlorophyta; Trebouxiophyceae; Coccomyxaceae.